This 717-nucleotide ribosomal RNA is filed under the name uncultured earthworm intestine bacterium. RNAcentral's name for it is "bacterial SSU rRNA". It matches the Rfam family "Bacterial small subunit ribosomal RNA", at positions 40 to 758 of the family's 1533-position model. The record is from RNAcentral.
CGGCAGGCUUAACACAUGCAAGUCGAGGGGUAUAGUUCUUCGGAAUUAGAGACCGGCGCACGGGUGCGUAACGCGUAUGCAAUCUACCUUUUACAGAGGGAUAGCCCAGAGAAAUUUGGAUUAAUACCUCAUAGUAUGUGAGAAUGGCAUCAUUUUUACAUUAAAGUCACAACGGUAAAAGAUGAGCAUGCGUCCCAUUAGCUAGUUGGUAAGGUAACGGCUUACCAAGGCUACGAUGGGUAGGGGUCCUGAGAGGGAGAUCCCCCACACUGGUACUGAGACACGGACCAGACUCCUACGGGAGGCAGCAGUGAGGAAUAUUGGACAAUGGGCGCAAGCCUGAUCCAGCCAUGCCGCGUGCAGGAUGACGGUCCUAUGGAUUGUAAACUGCUUUUGUACGGGAAGAAACACUCCUUCGUGAAGGAGCUUGACGGUACCGUAAGAAUAAGGAUCGGCUAACUCCGUGCCAGCAGCCGCGGUAAUACGGAGGAUCCAAGCGUUAUCCGGAAUCAUUGGGUUUAAAGGGUCCGUAGGCGGUUUAGUAAGUCAGUGGUGAAAGCCCAUCGCUCAACGGUGGAACGGCCAUUGAUACUGCUAGACUUGAAUUAUUAGGAAGUAACUAGAAUAUGUAGUGUAGCGGUGAAAUGCUUAGAGAUUACAUGGAAUACCAAUUGCGAAGGCAGGUUACUACUAAUGGAUUGACGCUGAUGGACGAAA